AUGACGUGGCUCCGCGCCGCUACGGGGGUGGCCCGCCACGCCGCGCGGCGGGCGGUCCUGGCCCGCGCCACCAGCGCCACCCCGGGCGCCCGAUCCGCGGGGUUCCACACCACGGCGCUCCGCCGCAGGGCCGCGGCGCCGGCCCCGCGGGCCGUCCCGCUUUCCAGGCUCACCGACAGCUUCCUCGACGGCACCAGCAGCGUCUACCUCGAGGAGCUGCAGCGCGCGUGGGAGGCGGACCCGUCCUCCGUCGACGAGUCGUGGGACAACUUCUUCCGCAACUUCCUCGGCCAGGCCGCGGGCUCCCCCGCCACCGGCCUCUCCGGCCAGACCAUCCAGGAGAGCAUGCAGCUGCUCCUCCUCGUGCGCGCCUACCAGGUCAACGGCCACAUGAAGGCGGCGCUCGACCCGCUGGGGCUCGACGACCGCGCCGUGCCCGAGGACCUCGACCUCGCCCUCUACGGCUUCACGGAGGCCGACCUCGACCGCGAGUUCUUCCUCGGGGUCUGGAUGAUGGCCGGCUUCCUCUCCGAGAACCGGCCCGUGCUCACCCUCCGCGAGAUCCUCGGCAAGCUCGAGCGCGCCUACUGCGGGCCCAUCGGCUUCGAGUACAUGCACAUCCCCGACCGCGACAAGUGCAACUGGCUCCGCGAGAAGAUCGAGACCGUCGCGCCCAGGGAGUACCCCAAGGACCGCCGCCUCGUCAUGCUCGACAGGCUCAUCUGGAGCACCCAGUUCGAGAACUUCCUCGCCACCAAGUGGGCCACCGCCAAGCGGUUCGGCCUCGAGGGCGGCGAGACGCUCAUCCCCGGCAUGAAGGAGAUGUUCGACAGGUCCGCCGAUCUCGGCGUCGAGAACAUUGUCAUUGGCAUGCCCCACAGGGGGAGGCUCAAUGUGCUGGGGAACGUCGUGCGCAAGCCCUUGUCUCAGAUAUUCAGUGAGUUUGCUGGCGGGACCAGGCCUGUCGAAGGCGAGGAUGGGCUCUACACUGGAACCGGUGAUGUCAAGUACCAUCUGGGUACCUCCUACGACCGGCCCACCCGUGGUGGCAAGAGGAUCCACUUGUCGUUGGUCGCCAAUCCCAGUCAUCUGGAGGCCGUCGAUCCUGUUGUCAUUGGCAAGACGCGGGCAAAGCAGUUCUACUCCAAUGAUGAUGACAGGACAAAGAACAUGGGCAUUCUUAUUCAUGGAGAUGGCAGCUUUGCUGGGCAGGGCGUGGUGUAUGAGACGCUCCAUCUAAGUGCCCUUCCAAACUACACAACUGGAGGAACCAUUCACAUUGUUGUCAACAAUCAAGUUGCCUUCACAACUGAUCCAAGAGCCGGCAGGUCUUCCCAGUACUGCACGGAUGUUGCCAAGGCCGUGAAUGUCCCUAUAUUCCAUGUUAAUGGUGAUGAUCUGGAGGCUGUUGUACGUGUCUGCGAACUUGCAGCUGAGUGGCGCCAGACUUUCCAUUCUGAUGUGGUGGUCGACCUGAUCUGCUACCGUCGUUUUGGACACAAUGAAAUUGAUGAGCCAUCCUUCACACAGCCAAAGAUGUAUCAGGUCAUUAAGAACCAUCCCAGUUCAUUGAAGCUUUAUGAACAGAAACUGCUUGAAACAGGUGAAGUCACUAAAGAAGAUGUUCAGAGGAUCCACGACAAAGUGAACCGAAUCCUGAAUGAAGAGUUUGCUAAAAGCAAAGAUUAUGUUCCCAACAAGAGGGAUUGGCUCUCGGCUUACUGGACUGGCUUUAAGUCACCUGAGCAAAUUUCACGUGUUCGCAACACCGGGGUUAAGCCGGAGGUACUGAAACGUGUUGGGCAAGCAAUUACUACUCUGCCUGAAAGCUUCAAGCCCCACAGAGCAGUGAAGAAGAUUUUUGAGCAGCGCGCUGCAAUGAUCGAGAGUGGUGAAGGUAUUGAUUGGGCUGUUGCCGAAGCCCUUGCCUUUGCAGCACUCAUAGUUGAAGGCAACCAUGUUAGGCUGAGUGGACAGGAUGUGGAAAGGGGAACUUUUAGCCACCGGCAUUCAGUUGUGCAUGACCAGGAAACUGGGGCGAAAUACUGCCCGCUCGAUCAUGUUGUGAUGAAUCAGAAUGAGGAGCUGUUUACUGUUAGCAACAGUUCACUUUCUGAAUUCGCUGUUCUUGGGUUUGAAUUGGGCUACUCCAUGGAGAACCCGAAUUCGCUAGUACUCUGGGAAGCUCAGUUUGGUGACUUCUCCAAUGGUGCACAAGUGAUGUUUGACCAGUUUCUGAGUAGUGGAGAGGCAAAAUGGCUGCGCCAAACUGGCCUUGUUGUUCUACUGCCUCAUGGUUAUGAUGGCCAAGGUCCGGAACACUCCAGCUCCCGUUUGGAGCGCUUCCUUCAGAUGAGUGAUGACAAUCCUUUUGUCAUACCUGAAAUGGACCCAACUCUUCGCAAGCAGAUACAGGAGUGUAACUGGCAGGUUGUGAAUGUGACAACCCCUGCAAACUAUUUCCAUGUGCUGCGUCGUCAGAUACAUAGGGAUUUCCGGAAACCGCUGAUUGUGACGGCCCCCAAGAACCUUCUUCGGCAUAAGGAGUGUAAAUCCAACCUCUCUGAGUUUGAUGAUGUUGAAGGGCACCCAGGAUUUGAUAAGCAAGGAACACGUUUCAAGCGGCUGAUAAAGGACCGUAACGAUCACAAGGAAGUCGAGGAGGGUAUCAACCGCCUUGUAUUAUGUUCUGGAAAGGUGUAUUAUGAACUUGAUGAUGAGCGGAAAAAGUCUGAGCGCAGUGAUGUUGCUAUUUGCAGGGUUGAGCAACUUUCCCCAUUCCCGUACGACCUUAUCCAGAGAGAGCUAAAGAGAUAUCCAAAUGCGGAGAUCGUGUGGUGCCAAGAGGAGCCAAUGAACAUGGGCGCAUACAGCUACAUCUCACCCCGCCUCUACUCAGCCAUGAAGACCCUCGGGCGGGGCACUUUUGAGGACAUCAAGUACGUGGGCAGGGCGCCUUCGGCCGCCACAGCCACCGGCUUCUUGACAGUCCAUGUGCAGGAGCAGUCGGAGCUGGUGAAGAAGGCAUUGCAACCGGAGCCGAUCAAGUUCCCCUGA
RNAcentral lists this ribosomal RNA (3057 nucleotides) under Triticum aestivum (bread wheat). RNAcentral describes it as "partial small subunit ribosomal RNA". Lineage: Eukaryota; Viridiplantae; Streptophyta; Magnoliopsida; Poales; Poaceae. The record is from RNAcentral.